AUUGCACUGAGUUCCUGCAGGGCAAGUCCCCAGUUGUUCAAUGCCUGUGGACUGUUCCAAUUGAGCUGGACAGCCUUUUCAUAAUUCUUUGUUGCCUGCUUCCAAAGUUCUUCAGCUUCUUUUGUACGACCCCGGAUUUUGGCUCGAUCAGAUAUUGCAAUGGCCCAAUUGUAGUAAGCAUCAUUCAGCGUAGGACAAAGGCGGGUUGCCUCCUCAUACUUUUUGCAUGCCUGUUCGAGCAAAGAAUCUUUUGAAGGUGAAGUGGAAUCUGGGCUUACAUUAUCUGCACUUUCCUGAAGA
Molecule: unclassified non-coding RNA, 300 nt
Filed under: Hevea brasiliensis (rubber tree)
Lineage: Eukaryota; Viridiplantae; Streptophyta; Magnoliopsida; Malpighiales; Euphorbiaceae
Source: RNAcentral